UUAAUUAAAUUAAAAUUUUAUACUCAGACGACUGGUUUAAUACAAGAGUUUGGUUGGACUCUGGCGGGCGCUCGCCAAUCCGAAGACCGGCGCGCUCGAGACCGAACGGUCCCGCCAAAGCAACAAGGUAGUUUUAACAACAGAGGGUUGGAGGUUCGGGCCAGAGACCCUUACUCUUUAAUGAUCCUUCCGCAGGUUCACCUACGGAAA
Molecule: unclassified non-coding RNA, 210 nt
Filed under: uncultured fungus
Lineage: Eukaryota; Fungi
Description: sequence contains ITS1
Source: RNAcentral